GACGAACGCUGGCGGCGUGCUUAACACAUGCAAGUCGAACGGAAAGGCCCUGCUUUUGUGUGGUGCUCGAGUGGCGAACGGGUGAGUAACACGUGAGUAACCUGCCCUUGACUUUGGGAUAACUUCAGGAAACUGGGGCUAAUACCGGAUAGGAGCUCCUGCUGCAUGGUGGGGGUUGGAAAGUUUCGGCGGUUGGGGAUGGACGCGCGGCUUAUCAGCUUGUUGGUGGGGUAGUGGCUUACCCAGGCUUUGGCGGGUAGCCGGCCUGAGAGGGUGGCCGGCGUCAUGGGGCCUGAGAGAGGGCCCAGACGCCAACGGGAGGCAGGGGUGGGGAGUAUUGCACAAUGGGCGGAAGUGUGAGACAACAGCGCCGGGUGCGGGAUGACGGCCUUCGGGUUGGAAACCGCUGUCGGCUGUGACGAAGCGUGAGUGACGGUAAUGGGUGAAGAAGCACCGGCUAACUACGUG
This 468-nucleotide ribosomal RNA is filed under the name uncultured bacterium. RNAcentral's name for it is "partial 16S ribosomal RNA". It matches the Rfam family "Bacterial small subunit ribosomal RNA", at positions 28 to 507 of the family's 1533-position model. The record is from RNAcentral.